RNAcentral lists this ribosomal RNA (429 nucleotides) under Chloroflexota bacterium. Its description in RNAcentral is "Chloroflexi bacterium partial 16S ribosomal RNA". It matches the Rfam family "Bacterial small subunit ribosomal RNA", at positions 355 to 776 of the family's 1533-position model. The record is from RNAcentral. Lineage: Bacteria; Bacillati; Chloroflexota.
UGGGGAAUAUUGCACAAUGGGCGCAAGCCUGAUGCAGCCAUGCCGCGUGUAUGAAGAAGGCCUUCGGGUUGUAAAGCACUUUCAGCGGGGAGGAAGGCGAUAAGGUUAAUAACCUUGUCGAUUGACGUUACCCGCAGAAGAAGCACCGGCUAACUCCGUGCCAGCAGCCGCGGUAAUACGGAGGGUGCAAGCGUUAAUCGGAAUUACUGGGCGUAAAGCGCACGCAGGCGGUCUGUCAAGUCGGAUGUGAAGUCCCCGGGCUCAACCUGGGAACUGCAUUCGAAACUGGCAGGCUAGAGUCUUGUAGAGGGGGGUAGAAUUCCAGGUGUAGCGGUGAAAUGCGUAGAGAUCUGGAGGAAUACCGGUGGCGAAGGCGGCCCCCUGGACAAAGACUGACGCUCAGGUGCGAAAGCGUGGGGAGCAAACAGG